Mus musculus (house mouse) is the source of this 338-nucleotide non-coding RNA. NCBI's taxonomy places the organism in Eukaryota, Metazoa, Chordata, Mammalia, Rodentia, Muridae. The record is from the annotation of a RefSeq genome assembly.
AUGAAGACACUGGCUGGGUGUUUGUUCCUAUGCUUGUGGCUUCAGUUGGAAUGUGAGUGUGAGCAGAGGAAAGCAGGUGGAGCAUCGCCCUCCUCACUUCAGUGUCCAGGAGGGAGACAGUGCCAUUAUCAUCUGCAUCUACCAUUCUUACUUCUCCUACAAGCAAUAGCCUAGGGCCGGUCUCCAGUUCCUUAUGGAGGUUUUGGUUUUUUGAAAUGGGUAUGGAAAAGAAGAAAAAGUACUCACUGUCCUACUGAAUAUGAAAGACAAAUCUCUCUAUCUGAACAUCACAGCAGCUCAUCCUGGACACUCAGCCAUGUACUUCUGUGCAGCAAGUG